AUCCAACUGAUGAGUCCCAAGUAGGACGAAACACAUGUCAAAAUGGAU
RNAcentral lists this non-coding RNA (48 nucleotides) under Schistosoma curassoni. Lineage: Eukaryota; Metazoa; Platyhelminthes; Trematoda; Strigeidida; Schistosomatidae. The record is from RNAcentral.